Molecule: transfer RNA, 75 nt
Filed under: Amoebophilaceae bacterium
Lineage: Bacteria; Pseudomonadati; Bacteroidota; Cytophagia; Cytophagales; Amoebophilaceae
Description: tRNA-Arg
Rfam family: tRNA
About the family: Transfer RNA (tRNA) molecules are approximately 80 nucleotides in length. Their secondary structure includes four short double-helical elements and three loops (D, anti-codon, and T loops).
Source: RNAcentral
GCGCUCGUAGUUCAAUCGGAUAGAACGUCGGAUUUCGGCUCCGAAGGCUUGAGGGUUCGAGUCCUUCCGAGCGCA